RNAcentral lists this ribosomal RNA (495 nucleotides) under uncultured beta proteobacterium. RNAcentral's name for it is "bacterial SSU rRNA". It matches the Rfam family "Bacterial small subunit ribosomal RNA", at positions 9 to 524 of the family's 1533-position model. The record is from RNAcentral. Lineage: Bacteria; Pseudomonadati; Pseudomonadota; Betaproteobacteria.
GAGUUUGAUCGUGGCUCAGAUUGAACGCUGGCGGCAUGCCUUACACAUGCAAGUCGAACGGCAGCACGGGAGCAAUCCUGGUGGCGAGUGGCGAACGGGUGAGUAAUACAUCGGAACGUGCCCAGUAGUGGGGGAUAACCCGGCGAAAGCCGGACUAAUACCGCAUACGACCUACGGGUGAAAGCGGGGGAUCGCAAGACCUCGCGCUAUCGGAGCGGCCGAUGUCAGGUUAGCUAGUUGGUGGGGUAAAGGCCUACCAAGGCGACGAUCUGUAGCUGGUCUGAGAGGACGACCAGCCACACUGGGACUGAGACACGGCCCAGACUCCUACGGGAGGCAGCAGUGGGGAAUAUUGGACAAUGGGCGAAAGCCUGAUCCAGCAAUGCCGCGUGAGUGACGAAGGCCUUAGGGUUGUAAAGCUCUUUUACCCGGGAUGAUAAUGACAGUACCGGGAGAAUAAGCUCCGGCUAACUCCGUGCCAGCCGCCGCCGUAAG